This 1470-nucleotide ribosomal RNA is filed under the name Halorubrum sp. CY. RNAcentral's name for it is "bacterial SSU rRNA". It matches the Rfam family "Archaeal small subunit ribosomal RNA". Lineage: Archaea; Methanobacteriati; Methanobacteriota; Halobacteria; Halobacteriales; Haloferacaceae. The record is from RNAcentral.
AUUCCGGUUGAUCCUGCCGGAGGCCAUUGCUAUUGGGAUCCGAUUUAGCCAUGCUAGUCGUACGAGUUCAGACUCGUGGCGAAUAGCUCAGUAACACGUGGCCAAACUACCCUUCGGAACACAAUACCCUCGGGAAACUGAGGCUAAUAGUGUAUACCACAUCACCACUGGAAUGAGUGAUGUGCCAAACGCUCCGGCGCCGAAGGAUGUGGCUGCGGCCGAUUAGGUAGACGGUGGGGUAACGGCCCACCGUGCCAAUAAUCGGUAUGGGUCAUGAGAGUGAGAACCCAGAGACGGAAUCUGAGACAAGAUUCCGGGCCCUACGGGGCGCAGCAGGCGCGAAACCUUUACACUGCACGACAGUGCGAUAGGGGGAUCCCAAGUGCACAGGCAUAGCGCCUGUGCUUUUCGGUACCGUAAGGUGGUACCAGAAUAAGGGCUGGGCAAGACCGGUGCCAGCCGCCGCGGUAAUACCGGCAGCCCAAGUGAUGGCCGAUCUUAUUGGGCCUAAAGCGUCCGUAGCUGGCCGCGCAAGUCCAUCGGGAAAUCCACCUGCUCAACAGGUGGGCGCCCGGUAGAAACUGCGUGGCUUGGGACCGGAAGGCGCGACGGGUACGUCCGGGGUAGGAGUGAAAUCCCGUAAUCCUGGACGGACCGCCGAUGGCGAAAGCACGUCGCGAGGACGGAUCCGACAGUGAGGGACGAAAGCCAGGGUCUCGAACCGGAUUAGAUACCCGGGUAGUCCUGGCCGUAAACAAUGUCUGCUAGGUGUGGCUCCCACUACGAGUGGGUGCUGUGCCGUAGGGAAGCCGCUAAGCAGACCGCCUGGGAAGUACGUCCGCAAGGAUGAAACUUAAAGGAAUUGGCGGGGGAGCACUACAACCGGAGGAGCCUGCGGUUUAAUUGGACUCAACGCCGGACAUCUCACCAGCAUCGACUGUAAUAAUGACGACCAGGUUGAUGACCUUGUCCGAGUUUCAGAGAGGAGGUGCAUGGCCGCCGUCAGCUCGUACCGUGAGGCGUCCUGUUAAGUCAGGCAACGAGCGAGACCCGCACCCUUACUUGCCAGCAGUACCGCGAGGUAGCUGGGGACAGUAGGAGGACCGCCGUGGCUAACACGGAGGAAGGAACGGGCAACGGUAGGUCAGUAUGCCCCGAAUGUGCUGGGCAACACGCGGGCUACAAUGGUCGAGACAAAGGGUUCCUACUCCGAAAGGAGACGGUAAUCUCAGAAACUCGAUCGUAGUUCGGAUUGUGGGCUGCAACUCGCCCACAUGAAGCUGGAUUCGGUAGUAAUCGCGUGUCACAAGCGCGCGGUGAAUACGUCCCUGCUCCUUGCACACACCGCCCGUCAAAGCACCCGAGUGAGGUCCGGAUGAGGCGUUCCACGAACGUCGAAUCUGGGCUUCGCAAGGGGGCUUAAGUCGUAACAAGGUAGCCGUAGGGGAAUCUGCGGCUGGAUCACCUCCU